GACGAACGCUGGCGGCGUGCUUAACACAUGCAAGUCGAGCGGUAAGGCCCUUUCGGGGGUACGACGAGCGGCGAACGGGUGAGUAACACGUGGGUGACCUGCCCUUAGCUCUGGGAUAAGCCUGGGAAACUGGGUCUAAUACCGGAUAUGACUCCAUGACGCAUGUUGUGGGGUGGAAANCCUUGUGCGGCUAGGGAUGGGCCCCGCGGCCUAUCAGCUUGUUGGUGGGGUGAUGGCCCUACCAAGGCGACGACGGGUAGCCGGCCUGAGAGGGCGACCGGCCACACUGGGACUGAGACACGGCCCAGACUCCUACGGGAGGCAGCAGUGGGGAAUCUUGCGCAAUGGGCGAAAGCCUGACGCAGCGACGCCGCGUGGGGGAUGACGGCC
This 390-nucleotide ribosomal RNA is filed under the name uncultured bacterium. RNAcentral's name for it is "bacterial SSU rRNA". It matches the Rfam family "Bacterial small subunit ribosomal RNA", at positions 28 to 416 of the family's 1533-position model. The record is from RNAcentral.